AGAGUUUGAUCCUGGCUCAGAUUGAACGCUGGCGGCAUGCCUUACACAUGCAAGUCGAACGGCAGCGCGGGAGCAAUCUUGGCGGCGAGUGGCGAACGGGUGAGUAAUACAUCGGAACGUGCCCAAUCGUGGGGGAUAACGCAGCGAAAGCUGUGCUAAUACCGCAUACGAUCUACGGAUGAAAGCAGGGGAUCGCAAGACCUUGCGCGAAUGGAGCGGCCGAUGGCAGAUUAGGUAGUUGGUGAGGUAAAGGCUCACCAAGCCUUCGAUCUGUAGCUGGUCUGAGAGGACGACCAGCCACACUGGGACUGAGACACGGCCCAGACUCCUACGGGAGGCAGCAGUGGGGAAUUUUGGACAAUGGGCGAAAGCCUGAUCCAGCCAUGCCGCGUGCAGGAUGAAGGCCUUCGGGUUGUAAACUGCUUUUGUACGGAACGAAACGGCCUUUUCUAAUAAAGAGGGCUAAUGACGGUACCGUAAGAAUAAGCACCGGCUAACUACGUGCCAGCAGCCGCGGUAAUACGUAGGGUGCAAGCGUUAAUCGGAAUUACUGGGCGUAAAGCGUGCGCAGGCGGUUAUGUAAGACAGUUGUGAAAUCCCCGGGCUCAACCUGGGAACUGCAUCUGUGACUGCAUAGCUAGAGUACGGUAGAGGGGGAUGGAAUUCCGCGUGUAGCAGUGAAAUGCGUAGAUAUGCGGAGGAACACCGAUGGCGAAGGCAAUCCCCUGGACCUGUACUGACGCUCAUGCACGAAAGCGUGGGGAGCAAACAGGAUUAGAUACCCUGGUAGUCCACGCCCUAAACGAUGUCAACUGGUUGUUGGGUCUUCACUGACUCAGUAACGAAGCUAACGCGUGAAGUUGACCGCCUGGGGAGUACGGCCGCAAGGUUGAAACUCAGAGGAAUUGACGGGGACCCGCACAAGCGGUGGAUGAUGUGGUUUAAUUCGAUGCAACGCGAAAAACCUUACCCACCUUUGACAUGUACGGAAUUCGCCAGAGAUGGCUUAGUGCUCGAAAGAGAACCGUAACACAGGUGCUGCAUGGCUGUCGUCAGCUCGUGUCGUGAGAUGUUGGGUUAAGUCCCGCAACGAGCGCAACCCUUGUCAUUAGUUGCUACAUUCAGUUGGGCACUCUAAUGAGACUGCCGGUGACAAACCGGAGGAAGGUGGGGAUGACGUCAAGUCCUCAUGGCCCUUAUAGGUGGGGCUACACACGUCAUACAAUGGCUGGUACAAAGGGUUGCCAACCCGCGAGGGGGAGCUAAUCCCAUAAAACCAGUCGUAGUCCGGAUCGCAGUCUGCAACUCGACUGCGUGAAGUCGGAAUCGCUAGUAAUCGUGGAUCAGAAUGUCACGGUGAAUACGUUCCCGGGUCUUGUACACACCGCCCGUCACACCAUGGGAGCGGGUUCUGCCAGAAGUAGUUAGCUUAACCGCAAGGAGGGCGAUUACCACGGCAGGGUUCGUGACUGGGGUGAAGUCGGAACAAGGUAGCCGUAUCGGAAGGUGCGGCUG
Molecule: ribosomal RNA, 1515 nt
Filed under: metagenome
Description: bacterial SSU rRNA
Rfam family: Bacterial small subunit ribosomal RNA
Source: RNAcentral